RNAcentral lists this ribosomal RNA (492 nucleotides) under uncultured bacterium. Its description in RNAcentral is "partial 16S ribosomal RNA". It matches the Rfam family "Bacterial small subunit ribosomal RNA", at positions 29 to 507 of the family's 1533-position model. The record is from RNAcentral.
AGUGAACGCUGGCGGUAGGCCUAACACAUGCAAGUCGAACGGCAGCACAGUAAGAGCUUGCUCUUACGGGUGGCGAGUGGCGGACGGGUGAGGAAUACAUCGGAAUCUACUUUUUCGUGGGGGAUAACGUAGGGAAACUUACGCUAAUACCGCAUACGACCUACGGGUGAAAGCAGGGGAUCUUCGGACCUUGCGCGAUUGAAUGAGCCGAUGUCGGAUUAGCUAGUUGGCGGGGUAAAGGCCCACCAAGGCGACGAUCCGUAGCUGGUCUGAGAGGAUGAUCAGCCACACUGGAACUGAGACACGGUCCAGACUCCUACGGGAGGCAGCAGUGGGGAAUAUUGGGCAAUGGGCGCAAGCCUGAUCCAGCCAUACCGCGUGGGUGAAGAAGGCCUUCGGGUUGUAAAGCCCUUUUGUUGGGAAAGAAAAGCAGCAGGUUAAUACCCCGCUGUUCUGACGGUACCCAAAGAAUAAGCACCGGCUGACUUCGUG